This 74-nucleotide transfer RNA is filed under the name Enterobacteriaceae endosymbiont of Donacia clavipes. Its description in RNAcentral is "tRNA-Thr". It matches the Rfam family "tRNA". Rfam says of the family: Transfer RNA (tRNA) molecules are approximately 80 nucleotides in length. Their secondary structure includes four short double-helical elements and three loops (D, anti-codon, and T loops). Lineage: Bacteria; Pseudomonadati; Pseudomonadota; Gammaproteobacteria; Enterobacterales; Enterobacteriaceae. The record is from RNAcentral. RNAcentral also lists the same sequence under 1 other name.
GCUGAUAUAGCUUAGAAAGGUAGAGCACAUUCUUGGUAUGAAUGAGGUCCCCAGUUCAAUUCUGGGUAUCAGCA